Non-coding RNA from Chelonoidis abingdonii (Abingdon island giant tortoise), 102 nucleotides. Lineage: Eukaryota; Metazoa; Chordata; Testudines; Testudinidae. The record is from RefSeq and is a predicted model, not a curated record.
UAGGUUAGAUAAUAUCUUUUAUUGGACCGACUUCCGUUGGUGAAAGAGAAACUCUUUUGAGCUUACGCAGAGUUCAUCUUCAGAAAUUAAGAGCAUCAAGCU